ACUUUUAAUGGACAGCAGCCGUCCGA
RNAcentral lists this transfer RNA (26 nucleotides) under Agama dodomae. Its description in RNAcentral is "Agama lionotus dodomae partial tRNA-Leu". Lineage: Eukaryota; Metazoa; Chordata; Lepidosauria; Squamata; Agamidae. The record is from RNAcentral.